CUGCCCUCAUCUCCGUCUUCGGGAGCCUGGCUGGGAUCACCUGCUCAUCAAAUGAAGGAAGUUGAAGGUUAAACUUGCCUCUGAGACGAGGGAUCCUCAGGGGCCUGAGGUGUCCAAACAUCGUGGAGUUGCGAGCAGACAGCGCAGGUUUCUUCCUCGAGGGGGGGCUCCAGACCACAGGAGGCAGGACCCUCUGUGGGGUGCCCGUGUUCUGAGGGCUAAGACACAGCCUCAUAGGGGCACCAUCCCACCUGUCUGGAAAAGAAGGCCCAAGAUGUCGCUGACGGUUGAAGAGUGGGAAAUGGCCCCAGAUUCCCCGGGCAGGCACAGGUGCAGGAGCCGCGGGGUGAGCCCGGCCAGCUGGGAAGGCCUCACGGACAAGACGAGCAGGUGGCCGAUGGCAUGGCCAGGACCUGCGGCGGAACCAGGAACAAAAUACGCUUAGUGAGUUGCCCAUUUUGAGCGAGUUGUGCACAGACGAAAGUAAGGGUGAGAAGCGGAGAGGAUACUCCUAAGUCACCCACUUCUCUGUGGCCGGGUGCACACUGGGCAUCUGGGAGUUUAUGACAUCACAAUGGGGCUGGUGACAGAGCUAGGGUGUGGAGGAGUGCUUAGGAGCCCAGCGAGGGUGCCUACAAGAGGAGUCAAAGGGCAAAGGAUGAAAAAAUUGAGGCUCAAAGAAGUCCACCAAAUUGAGAGUGAAGUAGGGGAAACAGCAUUUAACGCUUACAUUCUAAUGAUUUGUGUAAGAGCAGCAGGACAAGCUAUACAAAGGUAAGACAAUUCAUCUAACAACGAGGCCAUGGAGAGAGUUGUCAAGGAAGACAGCCUUC
Molecule: long non-coding RNA, 833 nt
Filed under: Homo sapiens (human)
Lineage: Eukaryota; Metazoa; Chordata; Mammalia; Primates; Hominidae
Description: HSALNT0232020
Source: RNAcentral